RNAcentral lists this long non-coding RNA (4148 nucleotides) under Homo sapiens (human). RNAcentral describes it as "HSALNT0188024". Lineage: Eukaryota; Metazoa; Chordata; Mammalia; Primates; Hominidae. The record is from RNAcentral.
UUCUCAGACUUUAGGGGAAAAUGUUAAUCCUACCCACAGCUCAGCUGCCAAACCCUGAACUUAACUGGACAGAAUGCAGCUGUAUUCCAGCUACUUGCAAGGAAGUAUAAUCCCUCUGUUACUCAAUACCUUUAAAAGCUCAGCUGGGAAAUAAUACUUGUGGAGAACAUCCUGGAAAACACUCAUCCUAUCAUCUAGAAACUCUCUCUAACCAAAGUUAGGCAAGACAAUCCUGGAAUUUACAGGUCUUAGGAUUCAUGAGACUGAAUUCUGACAGAUCUGCCUAUCGGUAUUAACAAGCUUCCAGACAAGAGUCCCAACUCUAGCAAGUAUAGCAUAAGAGACUUCAUGGCAUUAGAGAAUCUGUAUUGAGUAACUAAAAAAGUUUCCAGCUCUCCUGUCACAAAGUGGCUAUUGAGACUUCAAAUGUCAGAUGAUCUCCUUUGAAGCAGCAAAAUAGAGUGGAUAGAACUCCAGGAUGGAUGUCAAAAAACUCUGUGAUCCUAGUUCUAACUCAAAUUUACCUUUCAUAUGGUAUGAGGUUGGCAACAAAUGAUUCAUGGACCACCACUCAUCUAUAGACCAGACAUUAGUAAGAUGUGCUUGCUUCUCCUUCGCCUUUCACCAUGACUGUAAGUUUCCAGAGGCCUCCCAGUCAUGGUUCCUGUUAAGCUUGCAGAACGUGCACACAACCUGGAGCAAAGAGAUGUCAACGUAGACUUGAAAGCCUCAACAAACAUCUAUACAUUCAAAAUUCAGAGGAUAAUUGCAGACUUACAUGUUAAAUGAUGCCACAGGCUUGUGGUGAAUGUACAAAUCUAAUUCCCUAAACCUAUGAUACUACAGCUGACCCUUGAACAACAUGGGUUUGGACUACACGGUUCCAGCUAUACACGAUGUUUUUCAGCCAAACACAGAUCAAAAAUGCAGUAUUUGUGGGAUAUGGAACUUACCUAUAUGGAAGGCUGACUUUUCUUAUACUUUGGUUCCAUGGGGCUGACUGCAAGAUUUGAGUAUGCUUGUAUUUUGGUAUACUCAGGCCAGCGCCCUGGAAUCAAUUCCCUGCAUAUACCCAAGGAUGGUUGCAUUUAGAUAAUCGGAGCAUUACAAUGCCAUUUGUUAUGCAAAGAACAGCUUCUAUAAUUUGUGAAAUUUCAGUGAAAAAUAAAAUAUAAAGAUUUCACUCUAUUAAACUCUAUUAUUACUAAGAAAAUGAGAACUGAGUCUCAAAGGUAGUUAAUACAACGUAUUGAUCCAGCAGAAAUAGCUAUUCCUAUGAAUGCCAAAAUGAUUAGUCACUUUGUUAUUAAAUCAGCCUCACUGAUUAUUUUAGAUAUUAUAAACGGAAGUGAUUUUCAAUUUUCAACCCAACCAGAUGUUAUUGGCGUGCAUCAAACACAGAUAAGAGUGAAUCUACUCAGAAGAAAAUCAAGGAGAAUAUAGCUAAAAAUAUGCUAUGAGGCUAAUGUUCUGUUUAAAGAAAGGCUUAUUUGAUAUUUCUAUAGUGUUGAAUGACAUUUUCCGGAAAAAAAAUUGUUAAAUUUUAAAUAGAUUAUAUAAUGUAAUACCAAAAUUAUUUCAAUAAUGUUAUUAGAAAUAUGCUUUUUUUUUUUUUGAGACGCAGUCUCACUCUGUCACCUAGGCUGCAGUGCAGUGGCAUGAUCUCAGCUCACUGCAACCUCUGCCUCCUGAGUUCAAGCAAUUCUCCUGCCUCAGCCUCCCAGGUAGCUGGGAUUCCAAGCGUGCACCACCAUGCCCAGCUAAUUUUUGUGUUUUCAGUAGAGACAGGGUUUCACCAUGUUGGCCAGGCUGGUCUCAAACUCCUGACCUCAAGUGAUCAUCCCGCCUCAGCCCCCCAAAGUGUUGGGAUUACAGGCAUGAGCCACCACACCUGGCCAGAAAUAUGCAUAUUUUUGAUUUUGCAUUUUCUAGUCCAUGUUUUCCAUCAUAAAAUAGGUUUUUCCAAAAAUUGAAUUAUUUACAAAAAUUUAAAAAAAUCCUUCAUCUUUAGAAUGUAUUUUUUGAAUUAUCAUUCGUUAUACCAGAAGAUACUUAAUUUAAGAAACACAUAAUUUCCUUAUUAAUAUUCUACAAUAAAUUUCUUAGGCUCAUUGUUCUUUAAUAUAUAGGCAAAAAUAUUUGGUGAUUUCUUAAACAAUUGGGUCCAAAUACUGCCUUAAUUUCAUUUCCUACCAAUGAAUUCAUUCCCUUAAAACCAGAGAGAUUCCAGUUUUUUACACACGUUCCCCAAGAAACUGAAUAUUUUAGGCUUACCACAAAACAGACAGUAAUAAAAUUAUAAAAGCAGAGAUGUACAAACAUGACUCCAGAGGUCUCAAAAUGUCUCUAACAGGGGAUGCCUGACAUUAUGGCAAACUAAGCUUGCUAGAUAUUCAGCUUCUUACCACAAACACAUUAAAAAAUCAUGACUAGAAGAUAAAGAUAAAAUAUUUAAAUAAAGACAUUUUAAUUACAUACGUUAGCUCAAAAGAAAAAAAAAAGUGAAACAUCUAAGCCAGAAGGAUUAAAUACAUUUAUAUUCUGGCCACUUCUGGGGGAGUUGCAUCCUGUUCUAGGUUUGGGACACUGGAGUUCUAAUAUUUUUAAGGACACAAAAGAUGACUCUUCUAGCAUGUGAAGACAGAAGAAACUGGAACUGAACCCCUUACAUAAAACCUAGAGCCUUUCAGAUCUGUCCUAUUGUUAAUAGGAGAAUAGAAAAAAUGCCACAGAAUGAUCUGAGUAAGCAGCAAUAUAGCUCAUCUUGCUCAAGAGCUAUUUUAUGAAAAGAAAAUAAGAGUCACAGGAGAAAUCAAAAUUCCAAUAAAGAUGUGAGCCCAGGUCUUUCUUAUUUCAAAGCUCUUGAUUUUUGCUUUGGUCUCUGCUGGCCUUCCUUUCUCUGAAUUGUCUUUAUGUUAUGUAGAGUAAAGAGAGUUUUAUUCUUGAACCCAGAACCAAAGCUAUACACAAACUAUUCUCACAACUUUUUUUUUUAAAGACAUGCCAUCCUAUCGACCUUGUUAAAUGAUUUUUUUUGGAAUGAUAGGGCAUUCCUCCUACUUUUCCUGCAAUUAUUUUCUAGCAUAGAUCUCAAAGAUCUGCAAACUAGUAAACAAUAAACCUAAAGCAGUAAAAACUUCAGACCCCUGCAUCCAAGCUUAAUUAAGUCAGAAAUUGAAUUCCAUUAUGUCAUGGGAUAUGCCCUAGAGAAUUGUAUUGAUUCUCUCCUCUACGCCCAAAUGCACUUGAGCUAAAAGGCAUCUUUGCAAUCACAAAGCAUCCCAGCCUGGAGAAAGCUAUAUUUUGAGAAAGAAUGUAGGUAGGUAUUCAUAUUAGAUGUGGGAAUCAAAGUCACCUUAAGUACAAUCUUGAUGUUACACUUGUGUUUUAAAAAAAUGGGAAGUUGGAGAUGAACUCGUUCAUGGAGCUCAGAAUUAUUUGCUGUUUGACCAAUAUUGUACCAUAUAAGCCGUGUUAUCUGUAAAACUAUACAUUCAUGUAUUAAAUAUGUAUAAAAGGUAAGAGGAUUGUUCUUUUAUUGUGCACACAUUUCCAUGAGCUGCAAAGAUGAGAAUGUGAUGGAUGUAAUAAUACAGACAACAAAUUUGUGGUUGUAUGGGGAAUAUUCACUGCACCCACUGGAAUUGAUUCUAGGCUAGAAUCUAUAACUAUUAGAUGUAAGCAUGUAGAGACCAUCUCAUUUUAUUCCUAGUAACUGGCAUUUCUUCCCACCAGGGUUUAUCCUGAAGCUGAUGAUUGAAAAAUGAAUCCUCAAACGUAAGAUAACUGUUAAAUACACCCACCCAAUAGACUAAUUGAAAUAUAAUAACACAGUUUACAGGAAUUAAUUCUAGAGUAAUUUACAAGCUGGGGAAACUUAAAUCAGGGACCCUAAUCCAAAAGCAAUAUGGAAUAGAAUGGUGUUUUCUAAAUCAUAGUUGUUAUGAUAACACUUUCAUGAUUUUUCCAUGUAAAAUUUCUGAACUAUAUUUAAUAUUUUAUUUAAAAUCUACUCAUUCUUUUUGUUAAGUACACUUAUUUUAAGAAGAACUUUCAUACUUCUGCCAUAUGUAAAAGUGGUGUCACCUGCUGUUCCAUAUUUGAUGAUCCACAAACAUCUGUGACACUAUUCACAGCUACAGUUUUAG